This 254-nucleotide ribosomal RNA is filed under the name uncultured bacterium. RNAcentral's name for it is "partial 16S ribosomal RNA". It matches the Rfam family "Bacterial small subunit ribosomal RNA", at positions 524 to 776 of the family's 1533-position model. The record is from RNAcentral.
UACGUAGGGGCCUAGCGUUGUCCGGAAUUAUUGGGCGUAAAGAGCUCGUAGGCGGUCUGUCGCGUCGGUCGUGAAAACUUGGGGCUUAACCCUGAGCUUGCGGUCGAUACGGGCAUGACUGGAGUUCGGCAGGGGAGACUGGAAUUCCUGGUGUAGCGGUGAAAUGCGCAGAUAUCAGGAGGAACACCGGUGGCGAAGGCGGGUCUCUGGGCCGAUACUGACGCUGAGGAGCGAAAGCGUGGGGAGCGAACAGG